UGAGUAACACGUAUCCAACCUUCCCCAGUAGUAGGGGAUAGCCCGGCGAAAGUCGGAUUAAUACCCUAUGUUCUUCAAUGCGGACAUCUAAUUUGAAGCAAAGGUUCACCGCUAUGGGAUGGGGAUGCGUCUGAUUAGCUUGUCGGCGGGUAACGGCCCACCGAGGCAACGAUCAGUAGGGGUUCUGAGAGGAAGGUCCCCCACAUUGGUACUGAGACACGGACCAAACUCCUACGGGAGGCAGCAGUGAGGAAUAUUGGUCAAUGGGCGUAAGCCUGGAACCAGCCAAGUAGCGUGCAGGAAUGACUGCCCUAUGGGUUGUAAACUGCUUUUAUGCGGGAAUAAAGUGGCGUACGUGUACGCUUUUGUAUGUACCGCAUGAAUAAGGACCGGCUAAUUCCGUGCCAGCCGCUGC
Molecule: ribosomal RNA, 415 nt
Filed under: uncultured bacterium
Lineage: Bacteria
Description: bacterial SSU rRNA
Rfam family: Bacterial small subunit ribosomal RNA
Source: RNAcentral